Hyposmocoma kahamanoa is the source of this 556-nucleotide long non-coding RNA. RefSeq lists it as uncharacterized. The transcript has 3 exons. Lineage: Eukaryota; Metazoa; Arthropoda; Insecta; Lepidoptera; Cosmopterigidae. The record is from RefSeq and is a predicted model, not a curated record.
GCCACCCCGGAGGGUACAACCUAUCCGACUCUUGGGUAAAUGGAUUUUCAAUCGUGCUGACCCUGUUUUAGUAAACCCUCAAUUAACAGGCACUCUGGACUUUAAUGAACUUCUACUUCUCGAUGCCCGCUUCAAAGGACGCUAUCAAUUCUUACUGCCGACUCGCUGGAAAACUGGAAUUGUUUAACGCUUCACAGUAUCUAUUCUUUCGUACAGUUUGUACUGAAGCAUCGUGAAGGGAAAACGAUUGCUUCGUAUUUAUCUUGUAUUGAAAUUUAGAUUGAAUGUCAAUAUUAGUUCCUGUUGGAUAUUAAGUUGUUAUAAUAGACAGAUAAUGAAAAGGUAUUUCUAAUUAUAGAAUAUACUGCACGGAUCACAAAAUCAAUCUAAUAAAUAUAUCUAUACAAUAUGGCGGGACGAAGAAGGACGCGACACGGCUACCCAUAACAAUUACAGUGACAUUCAGAGCUUUAAAUCGCAAAGAUCUGAGUAGUACUGCCACUACACCACCACUCACAGACAUAAAGUUAGCAAAUCCCAUGUGCCAAGUUUCACU